RNAcentral lists this ribosomal RNA (423 nucleotides) under uncultured Pseudoflavonifractor sp. RNAcentral describes it as "bacterial SSU rRNA". It matches the Rfam family "Bacterial small subunit ribosomal RNA", at positions 355 to 794 of the family's 1533-position model. Lineage: Bacteria; Bacillati; Bacillota; Clostridia; Eubacteriales; Oscillospiraceae. The record is from RNAcentral.
UGGGGAAUAUUGGGCAAUGGGCGCAAGCCUGACCCAGCAACGCCGCGUGAAGGAAGAAGGCUUUCGGGUUGUAAACUUCUUUUAUCAGGGACGAUAAUGACGGUACCUGAUGAAUAAGCUCCGGCUAACUACGUGCCAGCAGCCGCGGUAAUACGUAGGGAGCAAGCGUUAUCCGGAUUUACUGGGUGUAAAGGGCGUGUAGGCGGGACUGCAAGUCAGAUGUGAAAAGCCCGGGGCUCAACCCCGGGACUGCAUUUGAAACUGUGAAGCUGGAGUGUCGGAGAGGUAAGUGGAAUUCCUAGUGUAGCGGUGAAAUGCGUAGAUAUUAGGAAGAACACCAGUGGCGAAGGCGGCUUACUGGACGAUUACUGACGCUGAGGCUCGAAAGCGUGGGGAGCAAACAGGAUUAGAUACCCUGGUAGU